CCAAAUUCAUUAUCAUAUCAGGAAAUGAGCUUGGCAAAGUGGUUGUUGAGAGCAAAUGCCAGCCCCAGCAUCAAAGGUGGAGUGGGUGUCACUGUUACAGUCACAGAAGACAACCUGGUGCUUGGUGUAGCCCAGGAUGCCCUUGAGGAGGCCCUCUGAUGCCUGUUUACCACCUUCUUGAUGUCAUUGUAUUU
This 194-nucleotide long non-coding RNA is filed under the name Lynx pardinus (Iberian lynx). The record is from RNAcentral. Lineage: Eukaryota; Metazoa; Chordata; Mammalia; Carnivora; Felidae.